CUUCGGAUCUAGUGGCGGACGGGUUAGUAACGCGUGGGAACGUACCCUUCACUACGGAAUAGUCCCGGGAAACUGGGUUUAAUACCGUAUACGCCCUUCGGGGGAAAGAAUUUCGGUGAGGGAUCGGCCCGCGUUAGAUUAGUUAGUUGGUGGGGUAAUGGCCUACCAAGACUACGAUCUAUAGCUGGUUUGAGAGGAUGAUCAGCAACACUGGGACUGAGACACGGCCCAGACUCCUACGGGAGGCAGCAGUGGGGAAUCUUAGACAAUGGGGGCAACCCUGAUCUAGCGAUGCCGCGUGAGUGAUGAAGGCCUUAGGGUCGUAAAGCUCUUUCGCCUGUGAUGAUAAUGACAGUAGCAGGUAAAGAAACCCCGGCUAACUCCGUGCCAGCAGCCGCGGUAAUACGGAGGGGGUUAGCGUUGUUCGGAAUUACUGGGCGUAAAGCGCACGUAGGCGGAUUAGUCAGUCAGAGGUGAAAUCCCAGGGCUCAACCCUGGAACUGCCUUUGAUACUGCUAGUCUUGAGUUCGAGAGAGGUAAGUGGAAUUCCGAGUGUAGAGGUGAAAUUCGUAGAUAUUCGGAGGAACACCAGUGGCGAAGGCGGCUUACUGGCUCGAUACUGACGCUGAGGUGCGAAAGUGUGGGGAGCAAACAGGAUUAGAUACCCUGGUAGUCCACACCGUANACGAUGAAUGCCAGUCGUCGGGUAGCAUGCUAUUCGGUGACACACCUAACGGAUUAAGCAUUCCGCCUGGAGAGUACGGUCGC
RNAcentral lists this ribosomal RNA (768 nucleotides) under Celeribacter sp. RNAcentral describes it as "bacterial SSU rRNA". It matches the Rfam family "Bacterial small subunit ribosomal RNA", at positions 84 to 889 of the family's 1533-position model. Lineage: Bacteria; Pseudomonadati; Pseudomonadota; Alphaproteobacteria; Rhodobacterales; Roseobacteraceae. The record is from RNAcentral.